GACGAACGCUGGCGGCGUGCCUAAUACAUGCAAGUCGAACGGUAACAGGCCGCAAGGUGCUGACGAGUGGCGAACGGGUGAGUAAUGCAUCGGAACGUGCCCAGUCGUGGGGGAUAACGCAGCGAAAGCUGUGCUAAUACCGCAUACGAUCUAUGGAUGAAAGCGGGGGACCGUAAGGCCUCGCGCGAUUGGAGCGGCCGAUGUCAGAUUAGGUAGUUGGUGGGGUAAAGGCUCACCAAGCCAAGGAUCUGUAGCUGGUCUGAGAGGACGACCAGCCACACUGGGACUGAGAAACGGCCCAGACCCCUACGGGAGGCAACAGUGGGGAAUUUUGGACAAUGGGCGCAAGCCUGAUCCAGCAAUGCCGCGUGCAGGAAGAAGGCCUUCGGGUUGUAAACUGCUUUUGUACGGAACGAAACGGCGAGCUCUAAUACAGUUUGCUAAUGACGGUACCGUAAGAAUAAGCACCGGCUAACUACGUGCCAGCCGCCGCGGUAA
RNAcentral lists this ribosomal RNA (498 nucleotides) under uncultured bacterium. RNAcentral's name for it is "partial 16S ribosomal RNA". It matches the Rfam family "Bacterial small subunit ribosomal RNA", at positions 28 to 523 of the family's 1533-position model. The record is from RNAcentral.